ACCUACCACUGCUAAUCUAUGCCGCUGCCAACCUACCUAUCGCUGCUAAUCUAUCGCUGCUGCCAACCUACCUACCGCUGCCAACCUACCUAUCGCUGCCAACCUACCUACCACUGCUAAUCUAUCGCUGCUAAUCUAUCGCUGCUAAUCUAUUGCUGCUAAUCUAUCGCUGCUAAUCUAUCGCUGCUAAUCUAUCACUGCUAAUCUAUCGCUGCUGCCAAUCUACCUACCACUGCCAACCUAUCUACUGCUGCUAAUCUAUCGCUGCUGCCAACCUACCUACCACUGCCAACCUACCUACCACUGCUAAUCUAUCGCUGCUAAUCUAUUGCUGCUAAUCUAUCGCUGCUAAUCUAUUGCUGCUAAUCUAUCUAUCACUGCUAAUCUAUUGCUGCCAACCUACCUACCGCUGCCAACCUACCUACUGCUGCUAAUCUAUCGCUGCUAAUCUAUCGCUGCUAAUCUAUCGCUGCUAAUCUAUCGCUGCUAAUCUAUCGCUGCUAAUCUAUCGCUGCUAAUCUAUCGCUGCUAAUCUAUCGCUGCUAAUCUAUCGCUGCUAAUCUAUCGCUGCUAAUCUAUCGCUGCCAACCUACCUACCGCUGCUAAUCUAUCACUACUGCCAACCUAUAUAGGGUAAAUCAUGGUCCCAUUUGGUCCCAUUUUGUAAAAAUGGGACCAAAUGGGACUAGGAUCACUAAUUUAUUAGUAGAACAUGAUCUGGGACUAGAUUUAUAAUAUAAACAGUGUAAAGUGACUAAUUUACUAAACACUAUAUGGGACCAGGACUAAGAUAUCUAAUAAUGGGACCAAAGGAAAAUCUGGUCCCAGUCCCAUGCAUGGUCACACGGCCAGUCUAGUUAUAAACUUUGCAGAUAGCUUAGCAAAUAUCAAAAAUAAAUAAAACACUC
Molecule: small RNA, 908 nt
Filed under: Histoplasma capsulatum
Lineage: Eukaryota; Fungi; Ascomycota; Eurotiomycetes; Onygenales; Ajellomycetaceae
Also listed under: 1 other name
Description: hypothetical RNA
Source: RNAcentral